Molecule: ribosomal RNA, 505 nt
Filed under: uncultured bacterium
Lineage: Bacteria
Description: partial 16S ribosomal RNA
Rfam family: Bacterial small subunit ribosomal RNA
Source: RNAcentral
AGUGAACGCUGGCGGUAGGCCUAACACAUGCAAGUCGAACGGCAGCACAGGAGAGCUUGCUCUCUGGGUGGCGAGUGGCGGACGGGUGAGGAAUACAUCGGAAUCUACUUUUUCGUGGGGGAUAACGUAGGGAAACUUACGCUAAUACCGCAUACGACCUACGGGUGAAAGCAGGGAUCUUCGGACCUUGCGCGAUUGAAUGAGCCGAUGUCGGAUUAGCUAGUUGGCGGGGUAAAGGCCCACCAAGGCGACGAUCCGUAGCUGGUCUGAGAGGAUGAUCAGCCACACUGGAACUGAGACACGGUCCAGACUCCUACGGGAGGCAACAGUGGGGAAUAUUGGACAAUGGGCGCAAGCCUGAUCCAGCCAUACCGCGUGGGUGAAGAAGGCCUUCGGGUUGUAAAGCCCUUUUGUUGGGAAAGAAAUCCAGCUGGUUAAUACCCGGUUGGGAUGACGGUACCCAAAGAAUAAGCACCGGCUAACUUCGUGCCAGCCGCCGCGGUAA